This is a long non-coding RNA of Dioscorea cayenensis subsp. rotundata (Guinea yam), 1315 nucleotides long. RefSeq lists it as uncharacterized. The transcript has 9 exons. The record is from RefSeq and is a predicted model, not a curated record. Lineage: Eukaryota; Viridiplantae; Streptophyta; Magnoliopsida; Dioscoreales; Dioscoreaceae.
UCCUCAUCCUCUCCCUCUCUCGAGACUCCGACAAGCCGCCUCCAUCUCCGCAGCCGAUCGUGACGCCGACGACAGCCAGGCAGCCUUCCUCAUCCUCUCCUCCUCCACUUGGAUCCGAUCGGCGACAAUCGUCACCAUUGUUGUCAUUUCGAGGAUUUCAGAACAUAAAGUAGAAGAAGCACUUUUGGCAUUUGACGCAGAAGAAAAAAGAUGUGCAGAGUUGAAUGACUCUGGAGAAAAUUCAUCUGAUGAAAUUUCAGCUUAUAAGGCAAACUUCUUAAAAAGAAAGGCUGAAUGAUGUGUUGAGUUUGGGCCAACACCGCCUUUGGAAGCAAAUGUCUGUAACUUGGAGCGGGUAAGCGCUGUUGAUUUUUCGAGUGAUCAAUUGUCCAUUGCUUCCUCCCGUCAGGAACUAAAUUGGAAGGCUUGCUAUGACAACAUUAAUUAUAACUUAUAACAAACUUAUAUGAGGCAAGCUCCUUGUUUUACAUAAGUACAUAACUGGACCGGACUUUGUGGAUUCCAUUCCAGAUGGAUCGAAGUUAAAUUUUCCAGCUAGUUAAGAUGGUCAAGAUUUUUGAUUGACUGGCACAAUUUUGGGUUUACUUUGCUGGAGCUGAAGGCCUGAAAGGCUGUACCUCAGUCCAUGUAAUGGACAGAUUAAGCCAAAGCUUGUUUACUGGCCAGACCAUGCACAGAUGCCCCCCCCCCUCCACCAAUCAGGUGCAUGCCGACUUAAGGAAAUGGUUCCAAGCAAAUUGUGAGUGCUGAAGUUGCUGAAUCAAUCAGGAUAAUGUAUGGAGGUUCUGUUAGCACAAUAGUAAAAAACCGUGCCGAAAAUAGUGACAAAGCUCGGCACAGUAUUAAAAAAAUGGUGCCAAAUACAGUGCCAAAAUCAGUUUGGCACAGUUUUUAACUCCAUUUCCGUGCAAUUUUACCGUGCCGAUUUAUGAUUUUUCUUGUAAUGUAUUAAAGAUAGAACUGCAUGACUAGGACAAAUUUUUGAUAUCUUAUUCUUCUUAUAGGACUGAGGGGAGGUUGCUUUUUGAUAAUUAAUUUCAGGUUGUAGCCUCUAGCAAAUUCCAUUUAUGCUUUACUUUCACCUGGAUACUGUAAUUGUGCUUUUAACCUGUUUCUACUCUUUUAACUGAUUGAGUAUUACACCUGUCUUUGGAGUUUGGCCUAAUCUUUGCUUUACUUUUUUACUAUGCUUCUUUCUUCUGCAACACAUUCAUACAUAUUUAUAUCAGCCCAGACAUGAAUAUUAAUUAUUUAUGCGAAAUAAUUUAUGAGGCAUUCUUGUAUUUCAUUUUUG